RNAcentral lists this ribosomal RNA (253 nucleotides) under uncultured bacterium. Its description in RNAcentral is "partial 16S ribosomal RNA". It matches the Rfam family "Bacterial small subunit ribosomal RNA", at positions 524 to 776 of the family's 1533-position model. The record is from RNAcentral.
UACGGGGGGGGCAAGCGUUGUUCGGAAUUACUGGGCGUAAAGGGCUCGUAGGUGGCCAACUAAGUCAUACGUGAAAUCCCUCGGCUUAACCGGGGAACUGCGCCUGAUACUGGUUGGCUUGAGUUUGGGAGAGGGACGCGGAAUUCCAGGUGUAGCGGUGAAAUGCGUAGAUAUCUGGAGGAACACCGGUGGCGAAGGCGGCAUCCUGGACCGGUAUUGACGCUGAGGCGCGAAAGCCAGGGGAGCAAACGGG